RNAcentral lists this ribosomal RNA (506 nucleotides) under uncultured bacterium. Its description in RNAcentral is "partial 16S ribosomal RNA". It matches the Rfam family "Bacterial small subunit ribosomal RNA", at positions 28 to 507 of the family's 1533-position model. The record is from RNAcentral.
GACGAACGCUGGCGGCGUGCUUAACACAUGCAAGUCGAACGGUGAAGGGACUGGUUUUGCUGGUCCUGGAUGAGUGGCGAACGGGUGAGUAACACGUGAGUAACCUGCCCCCUUCUUCUGGAUAACCGCAUGAAAGUGUGGCUAAUACGGGAUAUUCUGGGUCUGUCGCAUGGUGGGCCUGGGAAAGAUUGCGCCUUUUUUGGUGUUUUUGGUGGGGGGUGGGCUCGCGGCCUAUCAGCUUGUGGGUGGGGUGAUGGCCUACCAAGGCGGUGACGGGUAGCCGGCCUGAGAGGGUGGACGGUCACACUGGGACUGAGACACGGCCCAGACUCCUACGGGAGGCAGCAGUGGGGAAUAUUGCACAAUGGGCGCAAGCCUGAUGCAGCGACGCCGCGUGAGGGAUUGAGGCCUUCGGGUUGUGAACCUCUUUCGCCAGUGAAGCAGGCCUGCCUCUUUUUGUGGGUGGGUUGACGGUAGCUGGAUAAGAAGCGCCGGCUAACUACGUG